GGUCUUAUAUUCAAUAAUGAUAUAAAAUUGCAAAUUUUAAGGAAUAGAAAUAAUCUGUUAAGGCUU
RNAcentral lists this transfer RNA (66 nucleotides) under Cucullia pustulata. RNAcentral's name for it is "tRNA-Cys". The record is from RNAcentral. Lineage: Eukaryota; Metazoa; Arthropoda; Insecta; Lepidoptera; Noctuidae.